CUGGCGGCACGCCUAACACAUGCAAGUCGAACGAAGUAGAAAUACUUAGUGGCAGACGGGUGAGUAACAUGUAGGUAUCUGCCCUUUGGCCUGGAAUAACACGAGGAAACUUGUGCUAAUACCGGAUAAGUCUUCACGGAGAAAGCUUUAUGCACCAUUGGAUGAGCCUGCACUUGAUUAGUUUGUUGGUGGGGUAAUGGCCUACCAAGACUGUGAUCAAUAGCUGAUUUGAGAGGAUGAUCAGCCACAUUGGGACUGAGACACGGCCCAAACUCCUACGGGAGGCAGCAGUGGGGAAUCUUGCACAAUGGAGGAAACUCUGAUGCAGCGAUGCCGCGUGAGUGAAGAAGGCCCUUGGGUUGUAAAGCUCUUUCGUCGGGGAAGAAAAUG
This 390-nucleotide ribosomal RNA is filed under the name uncultured bacterium. Its description in RNAcentral is "bacterial SSU rRNA". It matches the Rfam family "Bacterial small subunit ribosomal RNA", at positions 36 to 453 of the family's 1533-position model. The record is from RNAcentral.